This 86-nucleotide transfer RNA is filed under the name Dehalococcoidia bacterium. Its description in RNAcentral is "tRNA-Leu". It matches the Rfam family "tRNA". Rfam says of the family: Transfer RNA (tRNA) molecules are approximately 80 nucleotides in length. Their secondary structure includes four short double-helical elements and three loops (D, anti-codon, and T loops). Further hydrogen bonds mediate the characteristic L-shaped molecular structure. tRNAs have two regions of fundamental functional importance: the anti-codon, which is responsible for specific mRNA codon recognition, and the 3' end, to which the tRNAs corresponding amino acid is attached (by aminoacyl-tRNA synthetases). tRNAs cope with the degeneracy of the genetic code in two manners: having more than one tRNA (with a specific anti-codon) for a particular amino acid; and 'wobble' base-pairing, i.e. permitting non-standard base-pairing at the 3rd anti-codon position. RNAcentral also lists the same sequence under 1 other name. The record is from RNAcentral. Lineage: Bacteria; Bacillati; Chloroflexota; Dehalococcoidia.
GCCGAAGUGGCGGAAUGGCAGACGCGAAGGUCUCAAAAACCUUUGGGGUAACACCCGUGUGGGUUCGACUCCCACCUUCGGCACCA